RNAcentral lists this ribosomal RNA (365 nucleotides) under uncultured eukaryote. RNAcentral's name for it is "partial 18S ribosomal RNA". It matches the Rfam family "Eukaryotic small subunit ribosomal RNA", at positions 592 to 976 of the family's 1831-position model. The record is from RNAcentral.
CAAUAGCGUAUAUUUAAGUUGUUGCAGUUAAAAAGCUCGUAGUCGGAUUUUGGCUGAGAACGAUCGGUCCGCCGUUAAGUGUGCACUGAUUGGUCUCAGCUUCCUGGUGAGGAGGUGUGCUUCACGGCCACUUAGUCACCGUGGUUACUUUGAAAAAAUUAGAGUGUUCAAAGCGGGCUUACGCUUGAAUAUAUUAGCAUGGAAUAACACCAUAGGACUCCUGUCCUAUUUCGUUGGUCUCGGGACGGGAGUAAUGAUUAAGAGGAACAGUUGGGGGCAUUCGUAUUUCAUUGUCAGAGGUGAAAUUCUUGGAUUUAUGAAAGACGAACUUCUGCGAAAGCAUUUGCCAAGGAUGUUUUCAUUGA